UCCGAAUGGGGAAACCCAGUGUGUUUCGACACACUAUCAUUAACUGAAUCCAUAGGUUAAUGAGGCGAACCGGGGGAACUGAAACAUCUAAGUACCCCGAGGAAAAGAAAUCAACCGAGAUUCCCCCAGUAGCGGCGAGCGAACGGGGAGCAGCCCAGAGCCUGAAUCAGUGUGUGUGUUAGUGGAAGCGUCUGGAAAGGCGCGCGAUACAGGGUGACAGCCCCGUACACAAAAAUGCACAUGCUGUGAGCUCGAUGAGUAGGGCGGGACACGUGGUAUCCUGUCUGAAUAUGGGGGGACCAUCCUCCAAGGCUAAAUACUCCUGACUGACCGAUAGUGAACCAGUACCGUGAGGGAAAGGCGAAAAGAACCCCGGCGAGGGGAGUGAAAAAGAACCUGA
Molecule: ribosomal RNA, 400 nt
Filed under: Escherichia coli
Lineage: Bacteria; Pseudomonadati; Pseudomonadota; Gammaproteobacteria; Enterobacterales; Enterobacteriaceae
Description: partial 23S ribosomal RNA
Rfam family: Bacterial large subunit ribosomal RNA
Source: RNAcentral